CCUACGGGAGGCAGCAGUGAGGAAUAUUGGUCAAUGGGCGCGAGCCUGAACCAGCCAAGUAGCGUGAAGGAUGACGGCCCUACGGGUUGUAAACUUCUUUUAUAAAGGAAUAAAGUGAGGCACGUGUGCCUUUUUGUAUGUACUUUAUGAAUAAGGAUCGGCUAACUCCGUGCCAGCAGCCGCGGUAAUACGGAGGAGCCGAGCGUUAUCCGGAUUUAGUGGGGUUAAAGGGAGCGUAGAGGGGUUGUUAAGUCAGUUGUGAAAGUUUGCGGCUCAACCGUAAAAUUGCCAUUGAUACUGGCAGUCUUUAGUACAGUUGAGGUAGGCGGAAUUCGUGGUGUAGCUG
RNAcentral lists this ribosomal RNA (346 nucleotides) under uncultured bacterium. RNAcentral describes it as "partial 16S ribosomal RNA". It matches the Rfam family "Bacterial small subunit ribosomal RNA", at positions 338 to 681 of the family's 1533-position model. The record is from RNAcentral.